RNAcentral lists this ribosomal RNA (244 nucleotides) under uncultured bacterium. RNAcentral's name for it is "partial 16S ribosomal RNA". It matches the Rfam family "Bacterial small subunit ribosomal RNA", at positions 335 to 597 of the family's 1533-position model. The record is from RNAcentral.
UGCCUACGGGACGCAGCAGUGGGGAAUAUUGCACAAUGGGGGAAACCCUGAUGCAGCAACGCCGCGUGAGUGAAGAAGUCAUUCGUGAUGUAAAGCUCUAUCAGCAGGGAAGAAAAUGACGGUACCUGAGUAAGAAGCCCCGGCUAACUACGUGCCAGCAGCCGCGGUAAUACGUAGGGGGCAAGCGUUAUCCGGAUUUACUGGGUGUAAAGGGAGCGUAGACGGCCAGACAAGUCUGAAGUGA